GCGUCUGUGAUGGGCGCAGGGUCUGUGAGGUGCAAAGGCCAUUUAGUGUGUGGCCUUAGUUAAUUUUUUGUUUUCAAUUUUCUGUCUCUCAUGUUAUUGAUCUGUAAAAGGAGCAUAAUCGAAGACAAACUGAUGUGAGGAUGAGGAGGAGUCAGAAAUAAACUCAUUCAACUAAUACUUGAGUAGCUACUGUUGCCUACAGUAUGUUCAAGGUUUUGCUAGUCAUCCAUAUGAUCACUAUUGACAGCUUGGGAGACUCACACAGGCUAGUGAAUUUCAGGAAUUAACAGAAACUGAACAGCUUCUAUAAUCCUGCAGGAAGUAACCUCUGGAUGGCACAAACUAUGUAGAGGAAUGGUCAUUCCUCAACUCCCAUGACUGGGAUUCAAGGAGAGCUGUUCUCAGUCAUCUGCAUGUGUUUGACUUUCCUGAUUGAUGACUGCCUUAUCUCCAUCCCCUGGGAACAGUUCUAAAAUAUGAACUGAAAGUCAGGGGUCAGUGGAUGCUGCGUCUGUGAGACACAACUUCAGAGGUGACUAAACUCUCCCUAGAGCUGCCCUCCUCGAAGAUCUUUGUCCUCGGAAAUUGUCAGGGGAAUCUCAAUUUGGCAGCACCAGAUGUCCCAGAGUCUAGGGAGUCAUCAGGCACUAACUUGGGUUUUUUUAAAGUUUGAAUCACAGUUGAUUCGGAAAAUGAUGGAAAGCUGUCAACUAAAGGAAGGUCUGUCGCUCUUUUUAUUUUUGCAUUGUCUUCAGAGGGAGGCCUUCCUAGAAUCCUGACUAGAAUUAACUAGAUCUGAAAGGAAGGCACGAUUUGAAGAGGAGAGGUUUCUACCUAAGCCUUGAUGACAAGAGUUCUGAGGAUGCUGUGGGCCUGGAGAGAAAACUCAAGCUAAACCAAGUAACUCAGUUUAAAUGUAGUUCAGGAGUGAUUUGCAGUGACAUUGCUUCCUCAUAUCCUGAGUGUGCCAGUUGGGAAGGCAUUCUAGAUUUUUAAAGUAUAUAGCAAAUUUCCAUGACUUUCCAAACAGUCCCAAUUCCCUUUGAGAGAGAAAAACAAACGCUGUUUUGUAUUAGAGUGGUUCUCUACCUAUCUUCACAGCAAAGGGUCUUAGAACCUUAGAAGAUUUGAUAAUAUUUGAAAAAUGGAGUCAGAAAUUUCUAUUGAAGUAUUACUAUAAUUUUGUAGCUCUCUGUGAACCCCACAGGAAAUGGGGAAUUUGUAACACGUAUAACCAGACUAAACAGCCAAGAAGUUUUAGUUUAGACACUGUCCAGGAGAGCUGUUGUGGGGCUUGCAAAGACGAGGGAGAUGCAGACCCUGCCUUGGACUUCCUCCUCUGGGAGAAACAGGAAAGGGCCUGGGGUCCAUGAAAAGGGCCUCACAGGAGCCAGAGGAGGACAUGGACGUGGUCAUAUUGUCUGCAGAGAGUGUUUGGAAGCCGUGAGCAGAUCCUGUGGUUUCAGUAGCUCCCAUUUCCUGGACUAGCAGGGGGAAAAAGAUGAAGAGAUCAAUAAUAGGUUUGAUAAAAGUCCAAAUAUGCCUUAAUAAGAAAUUGUCUCUCAUGGAGUAUACUUCAUUAAAGAAAGAAAUUUAGAAUACCUGCUUUUUUUUUGUUCAGACAAUCAGAUCAAACAGAGAACAUCCACUUUGGUUAGAUUAUGUGCUGUCAUGCAAAGCAAUUUACCAUAGACAUGUACAAAAGAAAAGCUUUUUGUGUGUCUGACAAGAAGUGUAUUAGGCUAUUUUUUUCUUUCAAACAAUGCUUAUUACUUUACUGGUCAUGGUUUAUUGAAACUGUAUUAGGGAUACUGCAAGUGAAAUAGUUCACAAGGUAUGUAGCACUUAGUAAAUAUUCAGGAUGCUUUGAUUUUACUCUAUUAUUGGGAUGAGCUAGAGGAGGGGGCUGGAGAAGGGGAAAUAGGAAAAAGAGAAGAGUGGAAAAGGUCAAGGUUCUUCGUGGCUGUAAAAUAUUUCCUGUGCUGAUCCUUUCCUUCGAGCUGAGAGCUGACCCCUGGCUGUCAUGCGUGGACUGGCAGCCUCUUCACUCUCAGCCUUGAGGCCUCCUCUUGAGAGUCAGAAGCUUCUAAUUCACAAGUCUGAAACACAGGCUUAGGGCUAAUGCACUGAUGGUGCAACUGGCUCCUAGAAAAUAUAUCUAUAAAUUGCAUUUUGUAUAUAAUUACAUAUCAAAUUUGUAACUUCUAACUGCUCACUUUUCAAAAAAAAAAUG
This 2233-nucleotide long non-coding RNA is filed under the name Homo sapiens (human). RNAcentral's name for it is "HSALNT0324518". Lineage: Eukaryota; Metazoa; Chordata; Mammalia; Primates; Hominidae. The record is from RNAcentral.